RNAcentral lists this transfer RNA (72 nucleotides) under Caudoviricetes sp. RNAcentral describes it as "tRNA-Gln". It matches the Rfam family "tRNA". Rfam says of the family: Transfer RNA (tRNA) molecules are approximately 80 nucleotides in length. Lineage: Duplodnaviria; Heunggongvirae; Uroviricota; Caudoviricetes. The record is from RNAcentral.
UGGGCUAUAGUGUAGUGGUUAGCACACAACACUUUGACUGUUGUAGUCUAGGUUCGAAUCCUAGUAGCCCAA